Molecule: ribosomal RNA, 383 nt
Filed under: uncultured Methanosaeta sp.
Lineage: Archaea; Methanobacteriati; Methanobacteriota; Methanomicrobia; Methanotrichales; Methanotrichaceae
Description: bacterial SSU rRNA
Rfam family: Archaeal small subunit ribosomal RNA
Source: RNAcentral
GGCUGAAGACUUACCCGACUUAGCUGAGAGGUGGUGGCAUGGCCGUCGUCAGUUGUACUGUGAAGCAUCCUGUUAAGUCAGGCAACGAGCGAGACCCACGUCCACAGUUGCCAGCAUACCCUCCCGGGGUGAUGGGUACACUGUGGAGACCGCCGCUGCUAAAGCGGAGGAAGGAGUGGGCAACGGUAGGUCAGUAUGCCCCGAAUCUCCUGGGCUACACGCGGGCUACAAUGGUUGGUACAAUGGGCAUCUACCCCGAAAGGGGAAGGAAAUCUCUUAAAGCCAAUCGUAGUUCGGAUUGAGGGCUGCAACUCGCCCUCAUGAAGCUGGAAUCCGUAGUAAUCGCGUUUCAACAGAACGCGGUGAAUACGUCCCUGCUCCUU